This 491-nucleotide ribosomal RNA is filed under the name uncultured bacterium. Its description in RNAcentral is "partial 16S ribosomal RNA". It matches the Rfam family "Bacterial small subunit ribosomal RNA", at positions 28 to 507 of the family's 1533-position model. The record is from RNAcentral.
GAUGAACGCUGGCUACAGGCUUAACACAUGCAAGUCGAGGGGAAACGACGGGGAAGCUUGCUUCCCCGGGCGUCGACCGGCGCACGGGGGAGUAACGCGUAUCCAACCUGCCUCUGACUGAGGGAUAACCCGUCGAAAGUCGGCCUAAUACCUCAUGGCAUCGUCUGCGGGCAUCCAACGACGAUUAAAGAUUUCAUCGGUCAGAGAUGGGGAUGCGUCUGAUUAGCUUGUUGGCGGGGUAACGGCCGACCAAGGGGACGAUCAGUAGGGGUUCUGAGAGGAAGGUCCCCCACAUUGGAACUGAGACACGGACCAAACUCCUACGGGAGGCAGCAGUGAGGAAUAUUGGGCAAUGGGCGAGAGCCUGAACCAGCCAAGUAGCGUGCAGGAUGACGGCCCUAUGGGUUGUAAACUGCUUUUAUGCGGGGAUAAAGUGAGGGACGUGUCCUUCAUUGCAGGUACCGCAUGAAUAAGGACCGGCUAAUUCCGUG